This 397-nucleotide ribosomal RNA is filed under the name uncultured bacterium. RNAcentral's name for it is "partial 16S ribosomal RNA". It matches the Rfam family "Bacterial small subunit ribosomal RNA", at positions 523 to 918 of the family's 1533-position model. The record is from RNAcentral.
AUACGUAGGGGGCGAGCGUUGUCCGGAAUGAUUGAGCGUAAAGGGCGCGUAGGCGGCGCGGUAAGUCUGGAGUGAAAGUCCUGCUUUCAAGGUGGGAAUUGCUUUGGAUACUGCCGCGCUUGAGUGCAGGAGAGGUUAUCGGAAUUCCCGGUGUAGCGGUGAAAUGCGUAGAGAUCGGGAGGAACACCAGUGGCGAAGGCGGGUAACUGGACUGCAACUGACGCUGAGGCGCGAAAGUGUGGGGAGCAAACAGGAUUAGAUACCCUGGUAGUCCACACUGUAAACGAUGAAUGCUAGGUGUAGGGGGUAUCGACCCCUUCUGUGCCGCAGUCAACACAAUAAGCAUUCCGCCUGGGGAGUACGGCCGCAAGGUUGAAACUCAAAGGAAUUGACGGGG